AGAGUUUGAUUAUGGCUCAGGAUGAACGCUAGCGAUAGGCUUAACACAUGCAAGUCGAGGGGCAUCACGUCUUCGGAUGGUGGCGACCGGCGCACGGGUGAGUAACACGUAUGCCACCUACCCAUAACUGGGGGAUAGCUCGUCGAAAGGCGAAUUAAUACCGCAUAAAGCAGGGGCACCGCCUGGUGCUAUUUGCUAAAGAUUUAUUGGUUAUGGAUGGGCAUGCGCUCCAUUAGGUAGUUGGUAUGGGUAACGGCCUACCAAGCCAUCGAUGGAUAGGGGAACUGAGAGGUUUAUCCCCCACACUGGUACUGAGACACGGACCAGACUCCUACGGGAGGCAGCAGUGAGGAAUAUUGGUCAAUGGGCGAGAGCCUGAACCAGCCAAAUCGCGUGAAGGAUGACGGUAUUAUGUAUUGUAAACUUCUUUUAUGAGGGAAUAAAGUGGGGCAUGUAUGCCCUUUUGUAUGUACCUUAGGAAUAAGCAUCGGCUAACUCCGUGCCAGCAGCCGCGGUAAUACGGAGGAUGCGAGCGUUAUCCGGAUUUAUUGGGUUUAAAGGGUGCGUAGGUGGAUGGGUCAGUCAGCGGUGAAAUCUUGGAGCUUAACUCCGAUACUGCCGUUGAAACUUCCCAUCUUGAGUGUGAACGAGGUAGGCGGAAUUCGUAGUGUAGCGAAGAAAUGCAUAGAUAUUACAAAAGAACUCCGAUCGCGCAGGCAGCUUACCAGGCACAACUGACACUGAUGC
This 747-nucleotide ribosomal RNA is filed under the name uncultured bacterium. RNAcentral describes it as "bacterial SSU rRNA". It matches the Rfam family "Bacterial small subunit ribosomal RNA", at positions 8 to 752 of the family's 1533-position model. The record is from RNAcentral.